RNAcentral lists this long non-coding RNA (411 nucleotides) under Helianthus annuus (common sunflower). RNAcentral describes it as "hypothetical non coding rna". The record is from RNAcentral. Lineage: Eukaryota; Viridiplantae; Streptophyta; Magnoliopsida; Asterales; Asteraceae.
UGUCCUCAGGUUGCGAAGGACACUCACGUAAAACCUACGUGAACUUAUACUCACUACUGCCUCGGUUGUGUCAGGCACUUACGUAAAACCUACGUAAACCCCCGCGUACCCCUAUCCUCGGUUGUGAAGGAUACUUACGUAAAACCUACGUAAACUUGUACGUAUUACUGUUCUCGGGAUAUGUAGAACACUUAUGGUCGUUAGAUACAUGGAGCUUGCACAUAGAGGAGCUGGUCGUUGUGGGCUUGGAUCGUGAUUGUCUUGUUAAACACUUAUGACAUUUCAUACUUUAUUAUGAUGGGUUUUAUUUAUACGCUUCCGCUAAACAGUGAUAACUUACUUAUGUUUUGGAACACCUUUCAUAUGGAUUUGGUUUGGUUUAAUGGCAAUUACUUUUACUAUAUAUAUUGU